This 66-nucleotide transfer RNA is filed under the name Hemisinus cubanianus. Its description in RNAcentral is "tRNA-Gly". Lineage: Eukaryota; Metazoa; Mollusca; Gastropoda; Thiaridae. The record is from RNAcentral.
AUCUCUUGAGUAUGCUUAGUAUAAUUGCCUUCCAAGCAAAAGGAUUAAUAAAUUUUAAAUGAGAUA